GGGAUAACGCAUCGAAAGGUGUGCUAAUACCGCAUAAUCUCUGAGGAGAAAAGCAGGGGAUCGCAAGACCUUGCGCUAUUGGAGCGGCCGAUGCCUGAUUAGCUUGUUGGUGAGGUAAAAGCUCACCAAGGCUUCGAUCAGUAGCUGGUCUGAGAGGACGACCAGCCACACUGGGACUGAGACACGGCCCAGACUCCUACGGGAGGCAGCAGUGGGGAAUUUUGGACAAUGGGGGAAACCCUGAUCCAGCCAUGCCGCGUGAGUGAAGAAGGCCUUCGGGUUGUAAAGCUCUUUCAGCCGGAACGAAACGGUUACGGUUAAUACCCGUGACUACUGACGGUACCGGAAGAAGAAGCACCGGCUAACUACGUGCCAGCAGCCGCGGUAAUACGUAGGGUGCGAGCGUUAAUCGGAAUUACUGGGCGUAAAGCGUGCGCAGGCGGUUUUGUAAGUCAGAUGUGAAAUCCCCGGGCUUAACCUGGGAACUG
RNAcentral lists this ribosomal RNA (488 nucleotides) under uncultured bacterium. Its description in RNAcentral is "bacterial SSU rRNA". It matches the Rfam family "Bacterial small subunit ribosomal RNA", at positions 140 to 623 of the family's 1533-position model. The record is from RNAcentral.